ACUUCUGGGCCACCUGACACCAGGCCCUGGCUGCAAGGAAAGACAGGUGGGAGGACAGCGAGGCAGAAAGAAAACGGCAGGCACACGUGUGAAAUUUCGUUCUUUGUGAACGACGUCAACAAACCGGGCUCCGGGAAGGCUGCCUGCCUGGCGCCCGCACAGCGAGCAGGUGCCAGAGGGCGGGAGCCUGGAGGCCCGGUCCGACCCUUGGCGGUUUCCUCAGAAGCGGCCCACACUGUGGCCGUUUGCACUUGCCUUUCAGGCACCACUCGGUUAGGACAAAGUCUCCUUCCUGCCUCGCUUGGGCGAGUUUUCCUCGACACCCGAGGCCGUCCAUUUCCUCGCAGGCUCUCCUUUCAGAUCAACAACUCUCUCCCUUUCCAAUUUUCCUUAUCCCCACCACCUCUCUCUCCAGACACUAAGACGGUGGCAGAAUCCCAGGCCCAGGAAUUCGGUGUCGAGGAGACACCGCCGUGUUUAGAGGCUCUCCCAGAUUUCAGCGAAAAGAACCAGACGGUCCCUGGGCAUCUUCCCAGGGAUAAGAGCCUGUGGGGUUUAGUCUGUUGGGUCAUCAAGGACCCACCCGAGGGCAGGGCUAAGCGUCCGAAGUCUCCUGUUGCAGGUGGGAAAACCUUCAAUCUUUCCCAGCCCCUCAAAUCCCAGUUCGCCCGCAAAGCUCUCCGCCUGCAGGUACCGUUUCUCCUACCUGUGCCGGGGUUCUCAGGAUCCCCGAGCCAUCUUCAGAUCAAAGGACCAAAAGCCAGAGCCGGGAGAUGCCAUCGGCGCUGCGAUACUGGAGCAAGACGCUUCCGAGUGCAAACUGCCGGCGAGCUGCCUGCCCUCCGCUCCGCCCUGCGCGCGCGCGUGCUUGCGUUUGUGUGUGUUUGUGUGUGUGUGUGUGGCAGUAGGAGGAACACCGCGCGGGGUCUGGCGCGGCCGCACGACAGAGGUGGGUGUCACACAGGGGCAGGAAACGUGCGUGUCCGUGUGCGCGCGUGUGUGUUGGGAUUAGAGCUUAGAGAAGUGGCAAAGCUCUGA
This 1038-nucleotide long non-coding RNA is filed under the name Bos grunniens (domestic yak). RNAcentral's name for it is "lncRNA (ENSBGRG00000025651.1)". The record is from RNAcentral. Lineage: Eukaryota; Metazoa; Chordata; Mammalia; Artiodactyla; Bovidae.